GAUGAAGAACGCAGCGAAAUGCGAUACGUAGUGUGAAUUGCAGAAAUACGUGAACCAUCGAAUCUUUGAACGCAUAUUGCGCCCCUUGGUAUUCCGAGGGGCAUGCCUGUUCGAGCGUCAUUAUAACCCUCAAGCUCAGCUUGGUGUUGGGGCCUGCUGCACUGGCAGCCCUUAAAAUCAGUGGCGGCGCCAUCUGGCUCUAAGCGUAGUAAUUCUUCUCGCUAUGGAGUCCUGGUGGACGCUUGCCAUCAACCCCCAAUUUUUCUAUGGUUGACCUCGGAUCAGGUAGGGAUACCCGCUGAACUUAAGCAUAUCAAUAAGCGGAGGA
RNAcentral lists this unclassified non-coding RNA (328 nucleotides) under soil metagenome. Its description in RNAcentral is "partial contains 5.8S ribosomal RNA, internal transcribed spacer 2, and large subunit ribosomal RNA". The stretch from base 1 to 120 matches the Rfam family "5.8S ribosomal RNA", at positions 35 to 154 of the family's 154-position model. The record is from RNAcentral.